CCUACGGGUGGCAGCAGUGAGGAAUAUUGGUCAAUGGACGAGAGUCUGAACCAGCCAAGUAGCGUGAAGGAUGACUGCCCUAUGGGUUGUAAACUUCUUUUAUAUGGGAAUAAAAUGUUCCACGUGUGGGCUUUUGUAUGUACCAUAUGACUAAGGAUCGGCUAACUCCGUGCCAGCAGCCGCGGUAAUUCGGAGGAUCCGAGCGUUAUCCGGAUUUAUUGGGUUUAAAGGGAGCGUAGGUGGAUUGUUAAGUCAGUUGUGAAAGUUUGGGGCUCAACCGUAAAAUUGCAGUUGAAACUGGCAGUCUUGAGUACAGUAGAGGUGGGCGGAAUGCGUGGUGUAGCGGUGAAAUGCUUAGAUAUCACGAAGAACUCCGAUUGCGAAGGCAGCUCACUGGACUGCAACUGACACUGAGGCUCGAAAGUGUGGGUAUCAAACAGGAUUAGAUACCCCAGUAGUC
RNAcentral lists this ribosomal RNA (460 nucleotides) under uncultured bacterium. RNAcentral's name for it is "partial 16S ribosomal RNA". It matches the Rfam family "Bacterial small subunit ribosomal RNA", at positions 338 to 795 of the family's 1533-position model. The record is from RNAcentral.